UGAAAUGACUUGAGAGGUGU
This 20-nucleotide small nuclear RNA is filed under the name Arabidopsis thaliana (thale cress). RNAcentral's name for it is "snRNA_00693". The record is from RNAcentral. Lineage: Eukaryota; Viridiplantae; Streptophyta; Magnoliopsida; Brassicales; Brassicaceae.